This 21-nucleotide unclassified non-coding RNA is filed under the name Chlamydomonas reinhardtii. RNAcentral's name for it is "small RNA Cre_4118". The record is from RNAcentral. Lineage: Eukaryota; Viridiplantae; Chlorophyta; Chlorophyceae; Chlamydomonadales; Chlamydomonadaceae.
UUUCGCGUUUCCGCUACUGCC